GACGUAGGGCGCGAGCGUUGUCCGGAAUUAUUGGGCGUAAAGGGCGCGUAGGCGGCUUUUCAAGUGACGGGUGAAAUCCCUCGGCUUAACCGAGGAACUGCCUGUCAGACUGGAAGGCUUGAGACCGGGAGAGGUGAGUGGAAUUCCCAGUGUAGCGGUGAAAUGCGUAGAUAUUGGGAGGAACACCAGUGGCGAAGGCGGCUCACUGGACCGGAACUGACGCUGAGGCGCGAAAGCGUGGGGAGCAAACAGG
RNAcentral lists this ribosomal RNA (253 nucleotides) under uncultured bacterium. RNAcentral's name for it is "partial 16S ribosomal RNA". It matches the Rfam family "Bacterial small subunit ribosomal RNA", at positions 524 to 776 of the family's 1533-position model. The record is from RNAcentral.